Molecule: ribosomal RNA, 466 nt
Filed under: Vreelandella stevensii
Lineage: Bacteria; Pseudomonadati; Pseudomonadota; Gammaproteobacteria; Oceanospirillales; Halomonadaceae
Description: partial 16S ribosomal RNA
Rfam family: Bacterial small subunit ribosomal RNA
Source: RNAcentral
CCUACGGGGGGCAGCAGUGGGGAAUAUUGGACAAUGGGGGGAACCCUGAUCCAGCCAUGCCGCGUGUGUGAAGAAGGCCCUCGGGUUGUAAAGCACUUUCAGUGAGGAAGAACGCCUGGUGGUUAAUACCCAUCAGGAAAGACAUCACUCACAGAAGAAGCACCGGCUACACUCCGUGCCAGCAGCCGCGGUAAUACGGAGGGUGCGAGCGUUAAUCGGAAUUACUGGGCGUAAAGCGCGCGUAGGUGGCUUGAUAAGCCGGUUGUGAAAGCCCCGGGCUCAACCUGGGAACGGCAUCCGGAACUGUCAAGCUAGAGUGCAGGAGAGGAAGGUAGAAUUCCCGGUGUAGCGGUGAAAUGCGUAGAGAUCGGGAGGAAUACCAGUGGCGAAGGCGGCCUUCUGGACUGACACUGACACUGAGGUGCGAAAGCGUGGGUAGCAAACAGGAUUAGAUACCCCAGUAGUC